RNAcentral lists this ribosomal RNA (661 nucleotides) under uncultured bacterium. RNAcentral's name for it is "bacterial SSU rRNA". It matches the Rfam family "Bacterial small subunit ribosomal RNA", at positions 94 to 788 of the family's 1533-position model. The record is from RNAcentral.
AGUGGCGGACGGGUGAGUAACGCGUGAUAAUCUGCCUUCAGGUCGGGGACAACAGAGGGAAACUUCUGCUAAUCCCGGAUGAGCCUUAGGGUAAAAAAUUUAUUGCCUGGAGAUGAGCUCGCGUCUGAUUAGCUAGUUGGUAAGGUAAAAGCUUACCAAGGCAACGAUCAGUAGCUGGUCUGAGAGGAUGAGCAGCCACACUGGGACUGAGACACGGCCCAGACUCCUACGGGAGGCAGCAGUGGGGAAUUUUCCGCAAUGGGCGAAAGCCUGACGGAGCAAGACCGCGUGGGGGAGGAAGGCUCUAGGGUUGUAAACCCCUUUUCUUUGGGAAGAACAAAAUGACGGUACCAAAGGAAUCAGCCUCGGCUAACUCCGUGCCAGCAGCCGCGGUAAUACGGAGGAGGCAAGCGUUAUCCGGAAUGAUUGGGCGUAAAGCGUCCGCAGGUGGCAAUGUAAGUCUGCUGUCAAAACCCAGGGCUCAACUCUGGUCAGGCAGUGGAAACUACAUAGCUAGAGUUCGGUAGGGGCAAAGGGAAUUCCCGGUGUAGCGGUGAAAUGCGUAGAGAUCGGGAAGAACAUCGGUGGCGAAAGCGCUUUGCUAGACCGAAACUGACACUCAGGGACGAAAGCUAGGGGAGCGAAUGGGAUUAGAUACCCC